UACGUAGGGGGCGAGCGUUGUCCGGAUUUAUUGGGCGUAAAGAGCGUGUAGGCGGUUCGGUAAGUCUGUCGUGAAAUCCUGGAGCUCAACUCCAGAACUGCCUUUGAUACUGAGGAUCUCGAGUUCGGGAGAGGUGAGUGGAACUGCGAGUGUAGAGGUGAAAUUCGUAGAUAUUCGCAAGAACACCAGUGGCGAAGGCGGCUCACUGGCCCGAUACUGACGCUGAGGCACGAAAGCGUGGGGAGCAAACAGGG
RNAcentral lists this ribosomal RNA (254 nucleotides) under uncultured bacterium. RNAcentral describes it as "partial 16S ribosomal RNA". It matches the Rfam family "Bacterial small subunit ribosomal RNA", at positions 524 to 777 of the family's 1533-position model. The record is from RNAcentral.